GACGAACGCUGGCGGUGUGCUUCACACAUGCAAGUCGAACGAGGUAGCAAUACCUAGUGGCGGACGGGUGAGUAACGCGUGGGAAUCUGCCUUUAGAUGGGGGAUAACGGGUCGAAAGACUCGCUAAUACCGCAUAUGACGAAAGUUGAAAGGAGUAAUCCGUCUAAAGAUGAGCCCGCGUCCGAUUAGCUAGUUGGUAGAGUAAAAGCCUACCAAGGCGACGAUCGGUAGCUGGUCUGAGAGGAUGAUCAGCCACAAUGGGACUGAGACACGGCCCAUACUCCUACGGGAGGCGAGCAGGU
This 302-nucleotide ribosomal RNA is filed under the name uncultured bacterium. RNAcentral's name for it is "bacterial SSU rRNA". It matches the Rfam family "Bacterial small subunit ribosomal RNA", at positions 28 to 355 of the family's 1533-position model. The record is from RNAcentral.